Molecule: ribosomal RNA, 506 nt
Filed under: uncultured bacterium
Lineage: Bacteria
Description: partial 16S ribosomal RNA
Rfam family: Bacterial small subunit ribosomal RNA
Source: RNAcentral
AGUGAACGCUGGCGGUAGGCCUAACACAUGCAAGUCGAACGGCAGCACAGGAGAGCUUGCUCUCUGGGUGGCGAGUGGCGGACGGGUGAGGAAUACAUCGGAAUCUACUCUGUCGUGGGGGAUAACGUAGGGAAACUUACGCUAAUACCGCAUACGACCUACGGGUGAAAGCAGGGGACCUUCGGGCCUUGCGCGAUUGAAUGAGCCGAUGUCGGAUUAGCUAGUUGGCGGGGUAAAGGCCCACCAAGGCGACGAUCCGUAGCUGGGCUGAGGGGAUGAUCAGCCACACUGGAACUGAGACACGGUCCAGACUCCUACGGGAGGCAGCAGUGGGGAAUAUUGGGCAAUGGGCGCAAGCCUGAUCCAGCCAUACCGCGUGGGUGAAGAAGGCCUUCGGGUUGUAAAGCCCUUUUGUUGGGAAAGAAAUCCAGCUGGCUAAUACCCGGUCGGGAUGACGGUACCCAAAGAAUAAGCACCGGCUAACUUCGUGCCAGCAGCCGCCGUAA